CCAACUUUAAUUAAUAGAGAAAUAUUACUUAGAGAUAAUUGCUAGAGACAAUUAUUAAAGACCAAAUGAAAGUAAGUGAACAAUUGUAAAGAGUUAAUUAAAGGACACAAGUACACUUUGGUUAAUUAAGUGGGCAUAAAGGACAACUUGGUAAUUCAUGUGAAAAUGUUGUCUAUAAGAGACAAAAGAGCCGAGAGAGAGAGAAGAAAUGAAAUCACUUCCUCCUCCCCCCUUCUUCAUCAGCAACGACAAUACUCCCUCCUCCAUGAAAACCAAAAAUCAAUUAUUCUCUCAAUAAGCACUGCAUGUGUGAAAAUUAUAGUGCNNNNNNNNNNNNGAACUUGAUUUCUCCAUUCCUUCUCAUGUUGAUGGUUGAAAUUCUAAUUCCUAACCCCAAAUCAUGUUUCCAUAUUUGGAUAUGCAUGUAUUCUGUUCACAAUUAAUGGAUUUGGUGAAUGAGUUAAGAAUCAAGGGAACUAGAAGAAUUGGAAGAAUUUGGGUUAAACCCGUAUUCUGUGAGAACCAUUUGUGUUCUGGGACUGCUGCAAAUACUCAAACAAGAAGAUGAUGAUGAAGAACAUGAUGAACGUAUUGCACAAAUUCCAAAGCGUGUUUAUCACACUAAACUUUAGGUUCGAUUCGCCCCCACCAUAAACUGGAUGUAAAAGGGUUAACCGGCGAAUCCCUUUCAGGAUACUUUGGAAACCUUGACAUGCAUUGCACAUACACAUCAAGCAUAUCGAUCAACGACAUUUUACGGAAUAAAGUUUCUUCAAUGACCCUUGUGCACUAGAGAAAUGAAGAAAUGAUUUAGAAAUAAUUUUGACAGAAUUGACUCAUGAAAUUCAUGAUUUCUGUUAUGUAUUUUUUGUCUCCUAAGUGUCUCUAUUUAUAGAGAAAUUUAUGUCAAAUGACGAAGGGACA
RNAcentral lists this long non-coding RNA (924 nucleotides) under Trifolium pratense (red clover). RNAcentral describes it as "long non-coding RNA (TPRA_LNC013111)". Lineage: Eukaryota; Viridiplantae; Streptophyta; Magnoliopsida; Fabales; Fabaceae. The record is from RNAcentral.